Molecule: long non-coding RNA, 2474 nt
Organism: Oncorhynchus keta (chum salmon)
Lineage: Eukaryota; Metazoa; Chordata; Actinopteri; Salmoniformes; Salmonidae
Exons: 4
Source: RefSeq, a predicted model, not a curated record
GGUGAAUAUUGGCCCAUUCCUCCUGACAGAGCUGGUGUAACUGAGUCAGGUUAGUAGGCCUCCUUGCUCAGACACGUUUUCUUUUUCAGUUCUUGUCCACAAAUAUUCUGUGGGAUUGAGGUCAGGGCUUUGUGAUGGCCACUCCAAUACCUUGACUUUCUUAAGCCAUUUUGCCGCAACUUUGGAAGUAUGCUUGGGGUCAUUGUCCAUUUGGAAGACCCAUUUUCGACCAAGCUUUAACUUCCCGACUGAUGUCUUGAGAUGUUGCUUCAAUAUAUCCACAUAAUUUUCCAUCCUCAUGAUGCCAUCUAUUUUGUGAAGUGCACCAGUCCCUCCUGCAGCAAAGCACACCCACAACAUGAUGCUGCUACCCCCGUGCUUCACUGUUGGGAUGGUGUUCUUCAGCUUGCAAGCCUCCCCCUUUUAAUAACAAUGGUCAUUAUGGCCAAACAGUUCUAUUUUUGUUUCAUCAGACCAGAGGACAUUUCUCCAAAAAGUAAACUGUAGUCUGACUUUUUUUAUGGCGGUUUUGGAGCAGUGACUUCUUCCUUGCUGAGCAGCCUUUCAGGUUAUGUCGAUAUAGAACAUGUUUUACUGUAGAUAUAGAUACUUUUGUACCUGUUUCCUCCAGCAUCUUCACAAGGUCCUUUGCUGUUGUUCUGCGAUUGAUUUCUACUUUUCGCACCAAAGUACGUUCAUCUCUAGGAGACAGAACGCGUCUCCUUCCUGAGCGGUAUGACGGCUGCGUGGUCCCAUGGUGUUUAUACUUGCGUACUAUUGUUUGUACAGAUUAAUGUGGUACCUUCAGCCAUUUGGAAAUUGCUCCCAAGGAUGAACCAGACUUGUGGAGGUCUGAAAUUUAUUUUCUGAGGUCUUGGCUGAUUUCUUUUGAUUUCCGCAUGAUGUCAAGCAAAGAGGCACUGAAUUUGAAGGUAAGCCUUGAAAUACAUCCACAGGUACACCUCCAAUUGACUCAAAUGAUGUCAAUUCGCCUAUCAGAAACUUCUAAAGCCACAUCAUUUUCUGGAAUUUUCCAAGCUGUUUAAAGGCACAGUCAACUUAGUGUAUGUAAACUUCUGACCCACUGGAAUUGUGAUACAGUGAAUUAUAAGUGAAAUAAUCUGUCUGUAAACAAUUGUUGGAAAAAUUACUUGUAAUUUUUAUUAGAUGUCCUAACCAACUUGCCAAAACUAUAGUUUGUUAACAAGAAAUAUGUGGAGUGGUUGAACAUUUUGUUUUAAUGACUCCAAGCUAAGUGUAUGUAAACUUCUGACUUCAACUGUAUAUAUAACCUGAAUGUGUAGAUGUAUGGUGACUUCACGUUUGGGUGAACGGACCAACGGAACUGCCAUGGUCAAGUCCCUUGACAGGUACCAGGAAUGGUGGAAGGAGGAAAAUCUGAAGGUCACUGAUACUCCACCUGAUGUGGAAGUUGUCAAACCAGAUCAGAAUGCCUUCGAAGUCCACUUUCAGGAUGGAUGUGGAGGUUUUUGACCAGGUGAGACUGAACAUGGACCGGGCGCAUGAGAAAAAGGAGAGCCACCUGAGAAGAAUCAAGGGGACCAAGUGCUUCAACAUCUGGGUGAAUUACUUGGCUUGGAAGAAGGACGAAAGGAAGGCGAGACCCAGGAAAGACCAUCCCUUACCAACCCCACUGACAUCAAAAAUUAGACAGGACCUAGGGAUUCUGCCUAACACCCAGACAUGAUGUCCUCCAUUACCAACCACCCUCCAACUUUUCAUUACACCAGUUACUGUUAUUGUCAAGUUGUCAUUAUCUGCUAAGAAAGAGCAAAACAACUAUCAUACUGGGCACAUACUGUGAGGUGCACAGAUUAGCUAAAAACACUAGCACUGCAAACACUCAGAACAAAGAGAGCAGCAGCGCCUCUUUGAGUUCACUACCUGUUGAAAACAAGUGACAGGCAGAACCUCCCAUCCACACAAGACCCACCCACCUCCUCUCUAUUCCACACACCAUAAUUAUGUAUUUCAGUCUGAUUGCCAUGUGACUGUACAAAAAAUCUGAAAGUAAAUUGACACAUGUACCAAAAAAAUAUCAAUGGUUAUGUUUUUAAAUCUAAAAUAUUGCUAGAUUGGUUUUCACAGCUGUUUCAUAAGGUGUUCAUUGUUGUAAAUUGUAACAUCUCUUGAUGGUAUUUGUUAGUUCAACAUUAUUAAUUGUAUCAUAAGACAUCCAAUAUAUAUAUAUUCAAACACAAGGGUGUUCUAAUGAGCUAUGAUUUAAAAAAUAAUAAUUGUAUCAAUAUUGAGGACUAAAGUUAUUUCAGUGUAGGUAAGGGAAUGCCUGUUUAAAAUGAAUACAUGCCAGCCAGAUAAGCCAGUGUAUGAAUCAAAUGUAUUUGCUUAUGAAUGGAAUGGAAAUUGGUUCACUUUGUGAUCUGUAAGGUAAGUAACAUUAAUGUAUGUGGGGGGCAUUGGAAUUAUAUUAUGUUUAUCCUGAUGCCUGUUUA